Molecule: microRNA, 19 nt
Filed under: Tribolium castaneum (red flour beetle)
Lineage: Eukaryota; Metazoa; Arthropoda; Insecta; Coleoptera; Tenebrionidae
Description: tca-miR-6013-3p
Source: miRBase by way of RNAcentral
GCUGCUGACGACCGCCUUG